RNAcentral lists this ribosomal RNA (731 nucleotides) under uncultured Glomeromycotina. RNAcentral describes it as "SSU rRNA". It matches the Rfam family "Eukaryotic small subunit ribosomal RNA", at positions 373 to 1103 of the family's 1831-position model. Lineage: Eukaryota; Fungi; Glomeromycota. The record is from RNAcentral.
GGGUUCGAUUCCGGAGAGGGAGCCUGAGAAACGGCUACCACAUCCAAGGAAGGCAGCAGGCGCGCAAAUUACCCAAUCCCAAUACGGGGAGGUAGUGACAAUAAAUAACAAUAUGGGGCUCUUACGGGUCUCGUAAUUGGAAUGAGUACAAUUUAAAUCUCUUAACGAGGAACAAUUGGAGGGCAAGUCUGGUGCCAGCAGCCGCGGUAAUUCCAGCUCCAAUAGCGUAUAUUAAAGUUGUUGCAGUUAAAAAGCUCGUAGUUGAAUUUCGGAGUUUGUCGGUUGGUCGGGCUUCACUGUCCGCACUGGCCUGAUGGAUUCCUACCUUCUGAAUAACCAGCAUGCUAUUAAGUUAGUGCGUUGGGGAAGCAGAGCUAUUACCUUGAAAAAAUUAGAGUGCUUAAAGCAGGCUUUUGCUUGAAUAGAUUAGCAUGGAAUAAUAAAAUAGGACGGCAUGGUUCUAUUUUGUUGGUUUCUAGGAUCACCGUAAUGAUUAAUAGGGAUAGUUGGGGGCAUUAGUAUUCAAUUGUCAGAGGUGAAAUUCUUGGAUUUAUUGAAGACUAACUUCUGCGAAAGCAUUUGCCAAGGAUGUUUUCAUUAAUCAAGAACGAAAGUUAGGGGAUCGAAGACGAUCAGAUACCGUCGUAGUCUUAACCAUAAACUAUGCCGACUAGGGAUCGGACGAUGUUAAUUUUUUAAUGACUCGUUCGGCGCCUUACGGGAAACCAAAG